Long non-coding RNA from Stegastes partitus (bicolor damselfish), 605 nucleotides. RefSeq lists it as uncharacterized. The record is from RefSeq and is a predicted model, not a curated record. The transcript is spliced from 2 exons. NCBI's taxonomy places the organism in Eukaryota, Metazoa, Chordata, Actinopteri, Pomacentridae.
GUCUUUGAGUGAAUGUUGGUGUAAGUGGAACACAGCACAGUGAAGAUGAGACUUUCUCUUACAGUCUAAAGGCCUAGAGGUACUUUUUCCAUUUUGACUUGCAAUUAUGAAGCAAGGGGUGUUAAGAACCUGAGAAUGGCUUACAGCUUUUCAUACAACUUGUGCAUAACAGUGCACUGACAAUUACUUUUAACACACAGGACAUGGAUUGUAGAUUUUACCCUUCAAAGGUUGGUUUAAUUCAAACUUUUUUUUUUAGAAUUAUUGAUCCUAGUAGUCUGACCAUUGUACCAAAGUUCAGCAAACACUACCGUUGUCUACUGAUUUGCUUGAGGCCUGUGUUGUGUUGAAUUUCCUGUGUUGUGUUAACCUUUGGACCCAUGAGGGAACACACAUACUCUCUGUAUUUAUUCCUGUCUUCAUAGAUAACAUGACAGUGGUCUCCUUCACUCAUCGGCACCUGGGAUUAAAGGGCUGUCAUGUGACUUGGAAUCCACCACUUGCUGAUGGAGCGCAGGCGUGUGGACUGGGUUAUAAUGACUAUUCCUGUCAAGAGAACUAAAAACAGAUGAAGAACUCCUCUCCGUAUGCCAAAGAUAAGUUGG